Molecule: long non-coding RNA, 317 nt
Organism: Bombus terrestris (buff-tailed bumblebee)
Lineage: Eukaryota; Metazoa; Arthropoda; Insecta; Hymenoptera; Apidae
Exons: 2
Source: RefSeq, a predicted model, not a curated record
UUUGCGAUCUCCUUUGUACAUUAUACAUGUUAUAAUUUUAUAACAUGUAUGUUUUGUCGUGUAUGUCGUCCAAUAUCGACCACCAAAUUGUCGUCCAGUAUCAAUCAAUCAACCGCCAAAAUCAAAUUUCUUUUAUUUAAAGAAGGAAAGUGACAUAGGAGAGCGAGAAUACGGCUUUGAGGCUGCUCCAAUGUUCCAAAAACGACAAAUGUGAAGUUUAGGCACACGACAAAUGCAGAAACCAAAAAAAUAUUAAUUACGUUACUUGUGAUUGUAAAAAUAAAAUUUGAAUAAAAGUGUGUAUUCUAACAUCUAAA